Molecule: long non-coding RNA, 426 nt
Organism: Brassica napus (rape)
Lineage: Eukaryota; Viridiplantae; Streptophyta; Magnoliopsida; Brassicales; Brassicaceae
Exons: 2
Source: RefSeq, a predicted model, not a curated record
GUUCCUAAUAGUGUUCAGGUUCCUCAAUCUCUUCACUGGCCAGCUCUGUUGUCUUGGCUUAGACAGAACAUAAUGGAGGUGGUGUAUGACUGGGCAAAAGGCUCUAAGUUUAUGAGAUCAUGGAGAUUGCCGUGUUCUCAAAGGGAGCUUAGCUUGAAUAGAAUGACAAGGAGAAUGGAGGAAGUUCUACAAAAGCUCAUAGUAGCUGGAAAAUUUACAGGCAAGACAGCUUGAAGCUAAACUAGAAGAAGCUGUUUCCCAGAUCAAGAGAGACAUUGUUGCAGCAUUUGGUUUAUCUCCACCAAAAUUAAUGAAACAAAAGAUUUCAAUAGGAUUCACCAAGGUUUUGUUUUACCCAUUUACACUAUAAUAUCCUCUCUUUUUGUACACUUCAAAAAUAGUUACAUGCAAUCUACUUUCCAACUA